GCUGGGCGCAGUGGCAUGUGCCUACAGUCCCAGCUAUUUGAGAAGCUGAGGUGGGAGAGGAUGGCUUGAGCCCAGAAGUUCUGGGCUGUAGUGCGCUAUGCCGAUCGGGUGUCUGCACUAAAUUCACCAUCAAUAUGGUGACCUCCCAGGAGCAGGGGCCCACCAGGUUGCAUAAGGAGGGGUGAAUCAGCCCAGGUCGGAAACAGAGCAGGUCAAAACUCCCGUGCUCAUCAGUAGUGGGAUCGCGCCUGUGAAUAGCCACUGCACUCCAGCCUGGGCAACAUAGGCAAACCCCGUCUCU
RNAcentral lists this signal recognition particle RNA (301 nucleotides) under Aotus nancymaae (Ma's night monkey). Its description in RNAcentral is "Metazoan signal recognition particle RNA (ENSANAG00000004768.1)". It matches the Rfam family "Metazoan signal recognition particle RNA". Rfam says of the family: The signal recognition particle (SRP) is a universally conserved ribonucleoprotein. It is involved in the co-translational targeting of proteins to membranes. The eukaryotic SRP consists of a 300-nucleotide 7S RNA and six proteins: SRPs 72, 68, 54, 19, 14, and 9. Lineage: Eukaryota; Metazoa; Chordata; Mammalia; Primates; Aotidae. The record is from RNAcentral.